RNAcentral lists this small nucleolar RNA (197 nucleotides) under Babjeviella inositovora NRRL Y-12698. Lineage: Eukaryota; Fungi; Ascomycota; Pichiomycetes; Serinales. The record is from RNAcentral.
AACUUUGUCCAAAAGUAAUCCAUCACAUUAGACAGUGCGUUGAUUAGUCUGCACAAGUCGGUCAGUUUUUGGCUGAAGGGUGCGGGACUCCAAUCUAGUAUUUACGCGAUAGCUGAUGGGGAGAGCAACAUUUGUCAUUAUAAGAACCCGUCUGGAUUAACCAUCUGAAAGAGGGGUGUCAGUUGACAAAGAUAUCU